UUUUGAAAGGGAAACGAUUUAGAAAAGGAAACGAUUGAAGUCAGUCAUGCCGGUGGGAAACAACUUAGGGGAAACUCUGGGUGCACUUCUUCGCUUGGCAGGUCAACGUCGAUUUUGAAUGUCAUAAAAUAAUUGGGGGAAGGUAGCUCCUUCGGGAGUGUUAUAGCCCUUGAUAGAUGUGAUGUUUGGGGUCGAAGGAGAUCCACAACAGGAAUACU
RNAcentral lists this ribosomal RNA (218 nucleotides) under uncultured Gigaspora. RNAcentral's name for it is "partial 28S large subunit ribosomal RNA". The record is from RNAcentral. Lineage: Eukaryota; Fungi; Glomeromycota; Glomeromycetes; Diversisporales; Gigasporaceae.